RNAcentral lists this ribosomal RNA (80 nucleotides) under Peptococcaceae bacterium BRH_c23. RNAcentral's name for it is "partial 23S ribosomal RNA". It matches the Rfam family "Bacterial large subunit ribosomal RNA", at positions 2847 to 2925 of the family's 2925-position model. The record is from RNAcentral. Lineage: Bacteria; Bacillati; Bacillota; Clostridia; Eubacteriales; Peptococcaceae.
AUCAGGUUGAUAGGCCAGGUGUGGAAGCGCGGUGACGUGUGGAGCUGACUGGUACUAAUAGGUCGAGGGCUUGACCUAAG